RNAcentral lists this ribosomal RNA (560 nucleotides) under uncultured bacterium. Its description in RNAcentral is "bacterial SSU rRNA". It matches the Rfam family "Bacterial small subunit ribosomal RNA", at positions 66 to 609 of the family's 1533-position model. The record is from RNAcentral.
AACCAAUAAGAAGCUUGCUUUUUGUUGGUUAGCGGCGGACGGGUGAGUAACACGUGGGUAACCUGCCUGUAAGACCGGGAUAACUCCGGGAAACCGGUGCUAAUACCGGAUAGAUUAUCUUUCCACCUGGUAGAGAUAAGGAAAGAUGGCUUUUGCCAUCACUUACAGAUGGGCCCGCGGCGCAUUAGCUAGUUGGUGAGGUAACGGCUCACCAAGGCGACGAUGCGUAGCCGACCUGAGAGGGUGAUCGGCCACACUGGGACUGAGACACGGCCCAGACUCCUACGGGAGGCAGCAGUAGGGAAUCUUCCGCAACGGACGAAAGUCUGACGGAGCAACGCCGCGUGAGCGAAGAAGGUCUUCGGAUCGUAAAGCUCUGUUGUUAGGGAAGAACAAGUAUCGGAGGAAAUGCCGGUACCUUGACGGUACCUGACGAGAAAGCCACGGCUAACUACGUGCCAGCAGCCGCGGUAAUACGUAGGUGGCAAGCGUUGUCCGGAAUUAUUGGGCGUAAAGCGCGCGCAGGCGGUCCUUUAAGUCUGAUGUGAAAUCUUGCGGCU